UUCUCUUCCAUUCAUUCCUCCCCCACCGGGGGGGGGGGGCAUUCCCUCUUCCCCCACCGAGGGUUGCUCCCAUCAUCUCUCGGAGGCCACAUCCCACGGGAAGAAGAAGAGGAAACAGGGGAGGGAGUGAGCCACGGGAACACGAGAGAAUAAAAAAAUAAGAGGAGAGAGAAGAGUUUUGUUAUUUUGGGAAUAUUUCAAAGAAAGAAAUCAUGAAGGAAGAGAUGGGAGCCUGCUGCUGUGCUGCUGCUGCCGUCUCCAACUCCAUGCAGGGCUGAUCUCUUCUCCAGGGCCGGAUGUAGCCCUAACAAAGGGCCAAGGGUUUUUAUAUUUUUAAUUUCUAUUCNNN
Molecule: long non-coding RNA, 349 nt
Filed under: Phoenix dactylifera (date palm)
Lineage: Eukaryota; Viridiplantae; Streptophyta; Magnoliopsida; Arecales; Arecaceae
Description: long non-coding RNA (PDAC_LNC010798)
Source: RNAcentral